RNAcentral lists this ribosomal RNA (332 nucleotides) under uncultured bacterium. RNAcentral describes it as "bacterial SSU rRNA". It matches the Rfam family "Bacterial small subunit ribosomal RNA", at positions 365 to 692 of the family's 1533-position model. The record is from RNAcentral.
UCCAUGGACGCAAGUCUGAUGGAGCAACGCCGCGUGAGUGAAGAAGGUCUUCGCNNCGUAAAGCUCUGUUGUUGGUGAAGAAGGAUAGAGGCAGUANCUGGUCUUUAUUUGACGGUAAUCAACCAGAAAGUCACGGCUAACUACGUGCCAGCAGCCGCGGUAAUACGUAGGUGGCAAGCGUUGUCCGGAUUUAUUGGGCGUAAAGCGAGCGCAGGCGGAAUGAUAAGUCUGAUGUGAAAGCCCACGGCUCAACCGUGGAACUGCAUCGGAAACUGUCAUUCUUGAGUGCAGAAGAGGAGAGUGGAACUCCAUGUGUAGCGGUGAAAUACACC